AGCAGCACACUCCGAUGCAGCACACGGUCGCCCACUCACACCUGUGCAUACAAAACAGCAUCCGAACUCAAGCGCACACAUACAUACACGCACACACACAGCCUGAUUCCUUGUUCUGAUGUUGUGCGUGCGCAUAGGUACAUACAUAUAGAUGCAAGUAGAGAGAGUGUGUCGUGUGCAGGUCUAUCGAGGAAGGGAGGCACGAUGACGCGUCUCGCCUCUCUUCUCCUCCCUCUUCUUACCUCCUGCACCGAGUAAGGAAUUAUGCGAUGCAACUCCCUGCAGUGGGGAAAAGGAAAAGGGAAAACACGAAACAGACGAUCCGGCUGUUUUGUCGAGGUGGUCUACGGAGAGCGGACGUGCUAGGCCUCUUCGGGAGAGGCGAUCAGGAGGAGCCACACGCGUGCAUCUCCUUCCGUUCCCCUUCUCUCCACGUUCUGUUCCUCACACUUUAGUCGCGAACUUUUCUGGCUUUUUCUCUUCGUCGACGUUGUCUCUCUUUCCUUCUCAAUGCAAAAGGGUUUCGCCUUCGUGUGCCGAGGGAGGGGGCCUCCGCUGUUUCUUUCGGGCGGCCUCCGGCCGCCACACACGGGUGAAUAUACGCAUGUGGGGCGUGGUAGCUUUCUUUGCGCCCCUCUUACGUUAGGGAAGAUGUAAGCUGGUGCUUGCUAUCUUGUCUGUGCGAUCAACUUGAUCCCACCCCGGCCAGCCAUCCCCCCUCCGUUGUCUCUGCCGCCGGGCGCGAGGCAUGAUGGAUGUGGGAAGGAGUGGGCGUAGCACUUUCGUGGAAACUAUCGAAACGAUAAGCAUCAAUACCGUAUGAGCGGAAUGCAGAGGUCAGCUGCCCGGCCUACCCGGCAAUGUCAAACACGUUUGAGACAUCGCCCUUGACCAGGUGAGAACAAGGGAUGAUACUCCUCAAUGGAAUAACUCCACUCUUCGCUCGCCCUCUCGCUCUAAUCGCACACGAGUGAGGGCAAUAACUGCGCAUGCAUGCAUAUGUCACGGUGAAGGCGCUGCCUCGGACAGCGAACACUAAGGACGGACCCCAGCGGCGCCCCCUCCUCCGAAGUCAGCAGGUGCGUGCACGAGUUCUUGCGGGAACGAAAAAUUGCGUGUUUUUUUGUUGUUUGCUCGCUUCGCUCUUGUCCCACCUUGCGCUCUCUUCUCGGGGGCAUAACGGCGCGGCGGGAGAUCACGGGAAGGGCGGUUGAGCUGCUCUUCUUUCACACACACGCACUCUCUCUCUGCGGCAACGGCUACCUGAGUUGUAUCUCUCAGUGGCAACUCCAGCCUCCACUUCCUAUGAGAAUGGGCCCCAGUGGACUUCAUGGCCCCCUUCUCUCUCGUUAGUUUCACUGUCCGUGCCCUCUGAGUAAGACCCCCGCCCAUCCGACCCCCUUCGUAUCUACACCCGGUGGGGCAGGAAACUGGAGGGAUGGACGGCACGGCAUUCUCGUGCGCACACAAGCACAGGCAUACACGUGCAUCUAUACUCUUGUAGAAGAAACGCGCUCUGUGCCGGCCUGUAUGACCCUCGAUGUGUAAGCGGCACGACCGCACACACCGCCCCAGAAGUCGGAUCGAUGAAGACAGUUAUGCUGACGCACUAACGGUGUUGGUGUAACUCUCUCGCUUUUCCUCUUCCA
Molecule: unclassified non-coding RNA, 1649 nt
Filed under: Leishmania donovani
Lineage: Eukaryota; Euglenozoa; Kinetoplastea; Trypanosomatida; Trypanosomatidae
Description: gene:unknown
Source: RNAcentral